CUCUUUGGAACACAAUUUCACUUCUAGCCCAAUCUGUGUCUCCUGAAUUGCAAUUCCUAAGACCCCAAUAAACACUUUGUCUUACUGCUUUACUGUCUGGUCUUUUGCCUCUUCUUGGUUGACAUUAAAUGGUGUCAGAAUAGAGUGGGGUACAACGCAACUUUCCCCUGCGUUCUGGCACUGCCAUGGAUUCAAGCAUGGUACCUGUAGGAUCCCUUUGUGUUCCAUCGUCUCCCCAACAGCCCAGGACCUCAUUGGACACAAUUGAAAACACUGGUUAUAUUACAAAAGCUUUGACUGGUAAUUUUGUGUCAUAUUUUCAAAUGUGACCAGGCUGCUUUGAGGAAUUGCAGUUUACUUUAAAGCCAACAGACUUGGAAAAAGACUGGCCGGGUACCAUAUCUACACUGUUCCCUUACAGGGUUCCUGACCUUGUGGUAAGUAAAAGUUGUCACUUUCUGACAGAAUAAGCUACCUCAGAUAUUUUGGGGACCUCAAGAAGAGAGAAAUUCACACAGGUAUUACAAGCCCAGUCUGAAGAUGAAUCCUUCGCUUAGUGUCCUAGCCUCAAGAGGCUUUUAAAAGUCUAUUCUGGGAUUUCUUAUUUAAAAGUUCCAGCAAGGCCAACUAAAAAAUAGCCUAUAUGGCCGAUCACUACUCUUACUGCAAACAAUCAGGCAAAGUAUACUAAGACUAAAAGUUAUUUUGCAAAUAAAUUGGUCCUCCUAUGUUUCAGCUUUGGUAGAAAUGGGAGACUAAAGAGAGAUACAUUAUUUUUCAGAAGAAAACUAUAGUACACGUUAUUAGAUUCUAGCCUUGUCCUUUGUUUGUGAGUUUUUAUUAUUUGAUUACAACAAUUUGGACUGAAUCCUGAAUUCUUUCCUAGCUACAAAUCUCCAAACUAACAUUUUCAUAUCUUUCCAUUUUUCUGACUUGGACUCAGUGAAAUUGCAGCUUGCUCCUGAGGCCCUGCAAGCUGAAGUUCACAUGUAAACAACCUUGUGAUACACAAACUACAGACCAGAAAAAUGUGACAGAUUGCCACUGCCUACUUCCACUUUAACUGAAGAUGGUUUGAGUCUAACAUCUAGCACUUCAACUGAUUGCCCCCCAAACUCUAAAGAAACUGGUUUAAAAAGUGUUCCAAACCGGUGAAACCCCGUCUCUACUAAAAAUACAAAAAAUUAGCCGGACGUGGUGGUGGGCGCCUGUAGUCCCAGCUACUCGGGAGGCUGAGGCAGGAGAAUGGCGUGAACCCGGGAGGCGGAGCUUGCAGUGAGCCGAGAUCGCGCCACUGCACUCCGGCCUGGGUGACAGAGCGAGACUCCGUCUCAAAAAAAAAAAAAAAAAAAAAAAAAAAAAAAAGUGUUCCAAACAUCUGGGAGGCUGAGGCGGGCGGAUCACGAGGUCAGGAGAUUUGAGACCAUCCUUGCUAAUCGCUGAAACCCCGUCCCUACUAAAAAUACAAAAAAUUAGCUGGGCGUGGCCGGGCGCAGUGGCUCACGCCUGUAAUCCCAGCACUUUGGGAGGCUGAGGCGGGAGGAUCACGAGGUCAGGAGAUCGAGACCGUUCUGGCUAACACGGUGAAACCCCGUCUCUACUAAAAAUGCAAAAAAUUAGCCGGGCGUGGUUGCAGGCGCCUGUAGUCCCAGCUACUAGGGAGGCUGAGGCGGGAGAAUGGCGUGAACCCGGGAGGCGGAGCUUGCAGUGAGCAGAGACCGCGCCACUGCACUCCAGCCUGGGCGACAGAGCGAGACUCCGUCUCAAAAAGAAAAAGAAAAAAAAAAAAGGGUUCCAAACAUUAACCUUUCUUCUUCUUCAGUUUGAGAGAGCCUGACUGCAACACCGUCUCCUGAAAUGAGACACAACUAUUUAAUUCACUGGCCUAUUCUCAGAAAUAGACCAGUUUAGUGGUAUCCUUUGCCACUCAGCUAUAAACUCAAUUUUUCUCUCCACAGCCACCAACUCAGCUUUUAGUGUGUAAAACGUCCAGGGAAGUUUCAGGAAAGAGAAUGUUGGGCUGCAGAACAUGAUUUUCCAAAAUAUGGCACUUUGGCAUGCUGAAUGCUUUUGAAAAUUGAAAGGCAUCAGAAAUAGGACGUUAGGCUAGCAAUUUUAUAAGUCCUCAGAAUCAAAGUCCAUCUAACCUUGUCUUGUUCCUCCCACUCCAUGGCCAAGGAGGUACUCUCUCUAGAAUUUCCUUCCAAGUAGCUAGAAUUACAGGUGUGCCCCACCAUGCCUUGUAAACUUCCCUUUUAUCCUAUCCCUGAAAUCUCACAAUCUAUUUCAGAAAAGAAAACUGAGUAAUGACCUACAGACAUGGUUAAUCAGUUAUACCCUUCUCCUGACAUACAGCUAAUCACCAUAGACUAAUGCAGACCUCCUUAUGAAACAGGCGUUUCUACCUCCAAGGGAAAAAGAUAACAAAUCUUUGGCUGACCAACUGAUGUUUAUCAGCAAUGCUUCCUCACAUCAAAUCUUUAUCAAAAUGAAGAAAUGUGAAAUGUGAUAUACAAAACAGUAUCACUUGGUUCAGAGCUCUAAAAUGGAGUCAAGAAGCCACUCUAUUACUACCUACACAACAUGAAACCCUGCAGGAAAAAAAAAAAGGAACAGGAACUUGCCUUGAACCUUUGAACUGGGCUAAACUACAAUGACCACAUCUUAGAAAGCAGCUGAAUUUCACCAGCACUGCAACUCCUGCAUAGCAACAACCAAUGUACCAUGGACUUAUGUACUAAGCCAGCCACCUCCACCAAUGAUAAUUCUUUCAAAACAACUUGUGCAAUCACUCUCGGCAUCCUUUGAAAAAUUCCUACUCUCCUUCCUGUCUUUGGAAAACAAUUUGGCUCUUAGCCAAAUCCGUGUCUCCCAAAUUGCAACUUUUAAGGCCUCAAAUGCCUAGUCUUACUGCAUUGCACUCUGGUGUUUUGCCCCUUCUUACUUGACAUAUUAUACUUACAUCUCCAUUUCUAGUUGUGUUGAUUUUUUUAUUUUUUUAUUUUUAUUUUUAUUUUUGGAUAGUGUCUCACUCUGUCACCCAGGCUGGAGUACAGUGAUGCUGUCAGGGCUCACUGCAGUCUUGACCACCUGGGUUCAAGUGAUCCUCCCGCCUCAGCCUCCCAUGUAGCUGGGACUACAGGCAUGCACCACCAUGCCUGGCUAGUUUUCUUACUUUUGGUAGACACAUGGUUUCACCAUGUUGCCCAGGCUGGUCACAAACUUCUGGGUUCAAGUGAUCCACCUGCCUUGGCCUCCCGAAGUGCUUGUAUUACAGGUGUAAGCCACUGUGCCUGGCCUUGUAUCAACUUUUUGAUAGUAUCUCUUGACAGAAUGUAAAUGUGAGUAAUACAGACUCAGCAUGGUAGAGAAAUGAUAUAUGAAGGAGUGGUAUUACAGAGACAGGAUAGAUUAUUCGAUAAAUUCGGCUCUGGGACAAUUGGAUAUCAAACCAUAUGCCCUAUUCAAAAAUCAGUUGUUGGUGGAUCAAAAUUUUAUUUUAAAACUUUAUUUUUUAAAUAAAUUUUUGUUUUAUUUUAUCAUAUAUAUGUGUGUGUGUGUAUAUAUAUAAGCAUCUGCAUGGAAUUUUUCCCAUCUUUUUAAGUGUUUGAGGGUACACAGUAGAUAUAUAUAUAUUUAUGGGGUACAUAAAAUAUUUUCUACAGGCAUGCGAUGCAAA
This 3679-nucleotide long non-coding RNA is filed under the name Homo sapiens (human). RNAcentral describes it as "HSALNT0408981". The record is from RNAcentral. Lineage: Eukaryota; Metazoa; Chordata; Mammalia; Primates; Hominidae.